Long non-coding RNA from Salvia miltiorrhiza (redroot sage), 823 nucleotides. RefSeq lists it as uncharacterized. NCBI's taxonomy places the organism in Eukaryota, Viridiplantae, Streptophyta, Magnoliopsida, Lamiales, Lamiaceae. The transcript is spliced from 3 exons. The record is from RefSeq and is a predicted model, not a curated record.
UAAGGGAUUCACUUGCUGAAGUAAAUUCGAAUAUUGUUCUUAAGGUAAUUUUUUUUGUUUUAUCACUAAGUCAACCUCAUAAUGUGGAAGAAAUUUUUAAUUGCGACUCCCUGUGUGCGUCUAGCUGUGUGGAGACUUCUCUUGGUACGGUCAUUCCUUUUUUUUGCAUUAUUGAAUCAUUGUGAAGUUUUAGUAAUUUAGUUAAUUUGACCGCAACUAUUUGAUGGGAAAGAGAGAUCUUAUAUAUGCAUUUUAAAGGUAUAUCAGAUGACAUUUAAUAAAGGUAUACAUAAUUGAAAUCACUGAGUUGAUUAGUCAUCUAUUUUUUAUAAUGUUAGUAAUUAUAUGAUGCUACCAACAUUGGACAAACAAAGCUACAGUGGUUAUGGGAACGAGUGGUGCUGGAAAAUCAAUAAUUGUAGUUCUUUGGAAUGAUUUGGUGCUGGUGUUGCUUCACUUCUACAAAAAGCACGCAUUUGUUAACGGGAGAGAUCAUUGGGAGAAUGUCUAGUGAUACGAUCCACAUUCAAGAUGUCAUGGGCAAAAAAGUAAGCUCUUAAGCUGCUACUUUUUAUGUAAGCACGAUAAUCAUUGUAAAAGCUUGGUAAAGAUUCCUAAACAUAAGUUGAUCAUCUCAGGUGGAACAAUUCAUUCAAUUUUCUUCGACAUUCUUAGAAGGCUUUAUUAUUGCUUUCUGUAGAGGAUGGCUCCUAGCGAUUGUGUUGUGUACGUGCAUUAUUCUUGCACUUGGUAUAGCAGGUGCAUUUUCGGCUGUACUCAUGGGGAAGAUGGCAACCCUUGGACAUGAUGUUAUUAUAGCUAU